UGGGGGUGGCCGGAGCUCUGGCAUUUGUAGAGAGCGUGGUGACGAGGGGUGGCGAGAGGAAGGCGACGACAUGGUGGUGGUGGUGGUCGUGGCGAGGAUGACACGGUUCUUGUGUGUUACCAUGACUAGUGGGGUGUAGGUGAGGUUUGGUUGGGUCAUGGCCUUU
This 166-nucleotide small RNA is filed under the name Oryza sativa Japonica Group (Japanese rice). RNAcentral's name for it is "sRNA Os04g0311000". Lineage: Eukaryota; Viridiplantae; Streptophyta; Magnoliopsida; Poales; Poaceae. The record is from RNAcentral.